This 209-nucleotide long non-coding RNA is filed under the name Elaeis guineensis (African oil palm). RNAcentral describes it as "long non-coding RNA (EGUI_LNC048731)". Lineage: Eukaryota; Viridiplantae; Streptophyta; Magnoliopsida; Arecales; Arecaceae. The record is from RNAcentral.
CUCACAAGGACUAUCCUGGCCAAGAUUUUGCUAAAUUGAAACACGAUUGUACACAGCUCCUAAACUGGAGUGGUCAAUCCCAUCUUGACACAUGCACCGAUAAGUCAAAUACUUGACUACACCGAGCAGCCUUCCGUCACUGAAUUAAAAAUUCAAGUAGCCCAGUGCCUAAGUGCAGUGAGUUGCUUGCAAGUCACCGUGGCGGUCUC